UACGUAGGCAGCGAGCGUUGUUCGGAAUUACUGGGCGUAAAGAGCGUGUAGGCGGUGCUCUAAGUUCGGUGUGAAAUCUCCUGGCUCAACUGCGAGGGUGCGCCGGAAACUGGAGUGCUUGAGCGUGGGAGAGGAAAGCGGAAUUCCUGGUGUAGCGGUGAAAUGCGUAGAUAUCAGGAGGAACACCGGUGGCGAAGGCGGGUCUCUGGGCAGUAACUGACGCUGAGGAGCGAAAGCGUGGGGAGCAAACAGG
RNAcentral lists this ribosomal RNA (253 nucleotides) under uncultured bacterium. Its description in RNAcentral is "partial 16S ribosomal RNA". It matches the Rfam family "Bacterial small subunit ribosomal RNA", at positions 524 to 776 of the family's 1533-position model. The record is from RNAcentral.